RNAcentral lists this unclassified non-coding RNA (182 nucleotides) under soil metagenome. RNAcentral's name for it is "partial internal transcribed spacer 1". The record is from RNAcentral.
CCGAGUUUACAACUCCCAAACCCAAUGUGAACGUUACCAAACUGUUGCCUCGGCGGGGUCACGCCCCGGGUGCGUAAAAGCCCCGGAACCAGGCGCCCGCCGGAGGAACCAACCAAACUCUCUCUGUAGUCCCCUCGCGGACGUAUUUCUUACAGCUCUGAGCGAAAAUUCAAAACGAAUCA